Long non-coding RNA from Parus major (Great Tit), 173 nucleotides. RefSeq lists it as uncharacterized. The record is from RefSeq and is a predicted model, not a curated record. Lineage: Eukaryota; Metazoa; Chordata; Aves; Passeriformes; Paridae. The transcript is spliced from 3 exons.
AAGAUUUUCUGGAAAAUACUGUUAUUGUAAUGUAGGCAUUUGAAUGGAAACAAGGCAUAGUACUGAAGAAUUUUCAGCAGAAGGGGAAAAUAUUGUUAAGAAUGUAAUUCAGUACUGGAAACAUUUGAGAAAAUGAUGGAGUUAAAACCCUCAACUGAAUACUGAUGACUGAA